GACGAACCGAGCGAACGUUGUUCGGAAUCACUGGGCUUAAAGGCGCGUAGGCGGGCUGUCAAGUCUGGGGUGAAAUCCCGCGGCUCAACCGUGGAACUGCCUCAGAUACUGACGGUCUCGAGGGAGGUAGGGCGAGCGGAACUGAUGGUGGAGCGGUGAAAUGCGUUGAUAUCAUCAGGAACUCCGGUGGCGAAGGCGGCUCGCUGGACCUCUUCUGACGCUGAGACGCGAAGCGUGGGAGCGAACAGG
Molecule: ribosomal RNA, 249 nt
Filed under: uncultured bacterium
Lineage: Bacteria
Description: partial 16S ribosomal RNA
Rfam family: Bacterial small subunit ribosomal RNA
Source: RNAcentral